GUCUGCUCUCCGAAACUCUGUUCUCAGUAAAAGCACCAUCAGGUCAAGAAAACAUGUACGUCAAUCAGUUCCUCUUUGCUUAAAUGAAUUCCGCAUGAAUUGGUCAUUUGCAACCAAGAGUUCUGACAAAUACAUUGCACAAGAAAAGAGAAAUCAUGAAUCAUGAAAAAUGGAUCUUAAUUCCUUUAAGAUGAUGGAGCCAGCAGCAAAUCACAUCUCUGUGGUGGGAACAGAGACAUCUAGAGAACAACUUCUUCGUGAGAAGAAAGAGAAGAGCUCUGGGAAUCAAGAAAGAACCAGUAGGAAAGCUAAAAAUCACAGAGAACAGAAGACAACCAGAGAAAGGAAUGAAGCAGUGUGGAAAGCUAACUCUGACUCCAGGGUAGAGGGGAUCUCACCCCCAAACACAAGAUACCUUGAAGUCUGCCUUGAAGAGGGAAGAAACAAAGACAAGAGCUUGGUGGAUAGAAUAGACAUCAGAGAUGAGAAACCAGGCGUUAUAACACUGUACAAUCCAACGUGUCUCCCAUAUGUGUGGAAGAAUGAGAAGCAAGAAAAACCAGUUUCAAUCUAUAUUGUGUCCAGUGGGCAGGGAGCAUAUUUGGCACUAGGCUUCCUGCUAGAGAUUUCAGAUAUUGCCAGGCUGAAACAGUUCAUGCCUCUGGUUGUUGGGACAUAAACAGACAACUUACCAAGAUUUCCUCCCAGAGACAAAGUGGCUUCUCUUUGGAGAAGAUGUUCUGCUCCCUGAGUGUGAUGUGGUGGAAGGGAUUGAAAUCCAAGCAUAUGGGCUGGGAAAUGGUCCACCAAGAAUUUGGGAUCCAAGGAAGGAAUAAGCUCUGCUGACAGAGUCAUCCCAUGCCAAGGACAAAAAACCUAUGGAUGCCAAAUGGGACACAGAGUGAACAGCCUCUUCCAGGGAUACCUGAGAAAGCAGAAGACUGACCUUAGCAGUUGUUGUAUUACCUCCUCACAGAGGGGUCUGGACAAAGCCGUUGUCAAAGGAUCUCACUAUGUAGACCAGGAUGGCUUGAACUCACUAUGUAGCCCAGUUGGCCUCGAAUUCAUGGCGAUCCUCCUGCCUCAGCAUCCCAAGUACUGGAAUUACAGGUUUAUCCUGGAGGACUUUUUCCUAGAUUCCUGUAACUAAAAAUUAGCUACAACAAUGUUUCUGAAAGAGGUUUUGGAUAAGCCAUCUAAAGCCUUAUAUACUUGAUACUAUUUUUAUUUACUUGUAUUUAAAUGAUAGUUGGGCUAUAUAUAAAAUUCUAGGUUGAAAGUCCUUUUCCAUCAAUGUUUUAAAAUAUUGCUUCACUGUCUCCUUGUAUCCUAUUUUGUGAUCAAGGUUUUCUGUCAGUCUGUUUUUCCCUUUUGAUCAACUUCUAC
Molecule: long non-coding RNA, 1386 nt
Filed under: Heterocephalus glaber (naked mole-rat)
Lineage: Eukaryota; Metazoa; Chordata; Mammalia; Rodentia; Bathyergidae
Description: lncRNA (ENSHGLG00100042671.1)
Source: RNAcentral